GACCUCAAGAGUAUCAUCAGCUGCCCCAAACCUCCAGGACCUCCAGGACCUCCAGACGAGUCAUGAAGCUGCUCCUCCUGCUGGCAGUUGCUGCCAGCCAGAUGGAGCUCUCUGCCUCUGAGACUGUUACUCUGAAUGCUCCUGGUGGAAACAUCAACAUCAGCGUCGCUCCCAUCACUUUCUAUGGAAAAACCUACACAUUGUUACACGCGAAGAUCGGCAA
This is a long non-coding RNA of Gymnodraco acuticeps, 223 nucleotides long. RefSeq lists it as uncharacterized. Lineage: Eukaryota; Metazoa; Chordata; Actinopteri; Perciformes; Bathydraconidae. The record is from RefSeq and is a predicted model, not a curated record. The transcript is spliced from 4 exons.